RNAcentral lists this ribosomal RNA (254 nucleotides) under uncultured bacterium. RNAcentral describes it as "partial 16S ribosomal RNA". It matches the Rfam family "Bacterial small subunit ribosomal RNA", at positions 524 to 776 of the family's 1533-position model. The record is from RNAcentral.
UACAGAGGGUGCGAGCGUUGUCCGGAAUCACUGGGCGUAAAGGGCGCGUAGGCGGCCUCUGCAAGUCGACUGUGAAAUCUCCGGGCUUAACCCGGAACGGUCAGCCGAUACUGCAGGGCUAGAGUGCAGAAGGGGCAACUGGAAUUCUCGGUGUAGCGGUGAAAUGCGUAGAUAUCGAGAGGAACACCUGCGGCGAAGGCGGGUUGCUGGGCUGACACUGACGCUGAAGUGCGAAAGCUAGGGGAGCGAACGGG